This 253-nucleotide ribosomal RNA is filed under the name uncultured bacterium. RNAcentral describes it as "partial 16S ribosomal RNA". It matches the Rfam family "Bacterial small subunit ribosomal RNA", at positions 524 to 776 of the family's 1533-position model. The record is from RNAcentral.
UACAGAGGCCCCAAGCGUUGUUCGGAUUUACUGGGCGUAAAGGGUGCGUAGGCGGUCGGGUAAGCCUGAUGUGAAAUCUCAGAGCUCAACUCUGAAACUGCAUUGGAUACUAUUCGGCUUGAGGUCUGGAGGGGGGACUGGAAUUCUCGGUGUAGCAGUGAAAUGCGUAGAUAUCGAGAGGAACACCAGUGGCGAAGGCGAGUCCCUGGACAGAUCCUGACGCUGAGGCACGAAAGCUAGGGGAGCAAACAGG